This is a non-coding RNA of Triticum aestivum (bread wheat), 156 nucleotides long. Lineage: Eukaryota; Viridiplantae; Streptophyta; Magnoliopsida; Poales; Poaceae. The record is from Rfam.
UAAAUACUCCCUCCGUUCCUAAAUAUAAGUCUUUUUAGAGAUUUUAAUAGAAACUACAUACGGAUGUUAGAGUGUAGAUUCACUCAUUUUGCUCUGUAUGUAGUUUCUGUUAAAAUCUCUAGAAAGACUUAUAUUUAGGAACGGAGGGAGUAUAUU